GCACAUCACUGGUGAUGAUGUAAGAUACCUGCACUUUGAUUUCCAUCACAUCUGUGGACAUAUUCACUUUGAGCGCUUAGCAAUUCUGUAUGACCAGAUUGAGGGUUUCCUUGAGAAAAACGGGUACUUUUUGUUGAAUGAAAAGGGUGAGAAAAUGAAGGAGCAGCUUGGUAUUGUGCGAACAAACUGCAUAGAUUGCUUAGACCGUACAAAUGUC
Camelina sativa (false flax) is the source of this 217-nucleotide non-coding RNA. Lineage: Eukaryota; Viridiplantae; Streptophyta; Magnoliopsida; Brassicales; Brassicaceae. The record is from RefSeq and is a predicted model, not a curated record.